Molecule: non-coding RNA, 142 nt
Filed under: Absidia repens
Lineage: Eukaryota; Fungi; Mucoromycota; Mucoromycetes; Mucorales; Cunninghamellaceae
Source: RNAcentral
AUGUUAUAGAAAGGAGAGAACUUUGGCAAUCCCCUUGAGAAGGACGGAACGGACUUUUUAGUCCACUCUUACAGUUGUUUUAUUAUGACUGAAGGCACUCUGUUUUCUAUGAAAACAUCUCGGCAUAUUGCCACCUUUUUUU